GACGAACGCUGGCGGCGUGCCUAAUACAUGCAAGUAGAACGCUGAAGGAGGAGCUUGCUUCUCUGGAUGAGUUGCGAACGGGUGAGUAACGCGUAGGUAACCUGCCUGGUAGCGGGGGAUAACUAUUGGAAACGAUAGCUAAUACCGCAUAAUAGCAGUUGUUGCAUGACAACUGUUUGAAAGGUGCAAAUGCAUCACUACCAGAUGGACCUGCGUUGUAUUAGCUAGUUGGUGGGGUAAAGGCUCACCAAGGCGACGAUACAUAGCCGACCUGAGAGGGGGAUCGGCCACAAUGGGACUGGGACACGGCCCAGACGCCUACGGGAGGCAGCAGUAGGGAAACUUCGGGAAUGGACGGAAGUCUGAACGAGGAACGCCGCGGGAGGGAAGAAGGGUUUCGGAUCGGAAAGCUCGGUUGUAAGAGAAGAAAGAGUGUGAGAGUGGAAAGUGCACACUGUGACGGUAUCUUACCAGAAAGGGACGGCUAACUACGUG
This 495-nucleotide ribosomal RNA is filed under the name uncultured bacterium. RNAcentral describes it as "partial 16S ribosomal RNA". It matches the Rfam family "Bacterial small subunit ribosomal RNA", at positions 28 to 507 of the family's 1533-position model. The record is from RNAcentral.